This 290-nucleotide unclassified non-coding RNA is filed under the name Capronia sp. Its description in RNAcentral is "partial contains 5.8S ribosomal RNA, internal transcribed spacer 2, and large subunit ribosomal RNA". The stretch from base 1 to 71 matches the Rfam family "5.8S ribosomal RNA", at positions 84 to 154 of the family's 154-position model. The record is from RNAcentral. Lineage: Eukaryota; Fungi; Ascomycota; Eurotiomycetes; Chaetothyriales; Herpotrichiellaceae.
GUGAGUCAUCGAAUCUUUGAACGCAUAUUGCGCCCUCUGGUAUUCCGGAGGGCAUGCCUGUCCGAGCGUCAUUGUUAACCCUCAAGCCUUGCUUGCUGUUGGACCCCUCGACGAAAAGUUGACGGCCCCAAAGAUAACGACGGUGUUGUGGUAACCCCCAGAUGCAAUGAGCUUUAACACGCACGCAUCACGGCGGUAUUAUAACCCCGUCUCUAAACAAUCAUUUUCAAGGUUGACCUCGGAUCAGGUAGGAAUACCCGCUGAACUUAAGCAUAUCAAUAAGCGGAGGA